UACGUAGGGUGCAAGCGUUGUCCGGAAUUAUUGGGCGUAAAGGGUGCGUAGGCGGUUUUUUAAGUCUUGUGUGAAAUCUUCAGGCUCAACUUGAAGACUGCACGAGAAACUGCAGGGCUUGAGUGUGGGAGAGGUGAGUGGAAUUCCCAGUGUAGCGGUGAAAUGCGUAGAUAUUGGGAGGAACACCAGUGGCGAAGGCGGCUCACUGGACCGGUACUGACGCUGAUGCGCGAAAGCGUGGGGAGCAAACGGG
This 253-nucleotide ribosomal RNA is filed under the name uncultured bacterium. Its description in RNAcentral is "partial 16S ribosomal RNA". It matches the Rfam family "Bacterial small subunit ribosomal RNA", at positions 524 to 776 of the family's 1533-position model. The record is from RNAcentral.